Bos taurus (domestic cattle) is the source of this 332-nucleotide long non-coding RNA. The record is from Ensembl. Lineage: Eukaryota; Metazoa; Chordata; Mammalia; Artiodactyla; Bovidae.
CUGAAAUCUUUGAACCCCUUAACCAAGGCCAGUGACUGACUACCUUCCUCUGGGCUUCUUGGCCCAGUUCAAAGCCUGGCAGCUUCCAGGAACUACACAAAUCAGCCCAAAACCUGGAUCCUCCAGAGGCUCCCCUGUGACGCCAAUGCUGCUGGUCGAGGACCGUACUUUGGGUAGCGUGGCUCUUCAGCAUGGCUGACGCUCCAAUCCUUUGGCCACCUGAUGCAAAGAGCCGACUCACUGGAGAAGACCCUGAUGCUGGGAAAGAUUGAAGGCAGGAGGAGAAGGGGACGACAGAGGAUGAGAUGGUUGGGUGGCAUCACCGACUCAGU